RNAcentral lists this ribosomal RNA (433 nucleotides) under uncultured bacterium. RNAcentral's name for it is "partial 16S ribosomal RNA". It matches the Rfam family "Bacterial small subunit ribosomal RNA", at positions 29 to 507 of the family's 1533-position model. The record is from RNAcentral.
AACGAACGCUGGCGGCAGGCCUAACACAUGCAAGUCGAGCGAGCAUUUCGGUGCUAGCGGCGGACGGGUGAGUAACGCGUGGGAACGUGCCCUUUUCUGCGGAAUAGUCCUGGGAAACUGGGGGUAAUACCGCAUACGCCCUUUUGGGGAAAGAUUUAUCGGAGAAGGAUCGGCCCGCGUUGGAUUAGGUAGUUGGUGGGGUAAUGGCCCACCAAGCCGACGAUCCAUAGCUGGUUUGAGAGGAUGAUCAGCCACACUGGGACUGAGACACGGCCCAGACUCCUACGGGAGGCAGCAGUGGGGAAUCUUAGACAAUGGGGGCAACCCUGAUCUAGCCAUGCCGCGUGAGUGAAGAAGGCCUUAGGGUUGUAAAGCUCUUUCAGCUGGGAAGAUAAUGACGGUACCAGCAGAAGAAGCCCCGGCUAACUCCGUG